GACGAACGCUGGCGGCGUGCCUAAUACAUGCAAGUAGAACGCACAGUUUAUACCGUAGCUUGCUACACCAUAGACUGUGAGUUGCGAACGGGUGAGUAACGCGUAGGUAACCUGCCUGGUAGCGGGGGAUAACUAUUGGAAACGAUAGCUAAUACCGCAUAAUAUUAAUUAUUGCAUGAUAAUUAAUUGAAAGGUGCAAUUGCACCACUACCAGAUGGACCUGCGUUGUAUUAGCUAGUAGGUGAGGUAACGGCUCACCUAGGCGACGAUACAUAGCCGACCUGAGAGGGUGAUCGGCCACACUGGGACUGAGACACGGCCCAGACUCCUACGGGAGGCAGCAGUAGGGAAUCUUCGGCAAUGAACGAAAGUCUGACCGAGCAACGCCGCGUGAGUGAAGAAGGUUUUCGGAUCGUAAAGCUCUGUUGUAAGAGAAGAACGGGUGUGAGAGUGGAGAGUUCACACUGUGACGGUAUCUUACCAGAAAGGGACGGCUAACUACGUG
Molecule: ribosomal RNA, 505 nt
Filed under: uncultured bacterium
Lineage: Bacteria
Description: partial 16S ribosomal RNA
Rfam family: Bacterial small subunit ribosomal RNA
Source: RNAcentral